AAUAAGAUGCCUGAAAUAAAAGGGCUAUCUUGAUAGGAUAGAUAAUGUAAAUUUUUACUCUUAUUA
RNAcentral lists this transfer RNA (66 nucleotides) under Antilochus coquebertii. RNAcentral describes it as "tRNA-Ile". The record is from RNAcentral. Lineage: Eukaryota; Metazoa; Arthropoda; Insecta; Hemiptera; Pyrrhocoridae.